Molecule: transfer RNA, 64 nt
Filed under: Gekko sp. A CDS-2011
Lineage: Eukaryota; Metazoa; Chordata; Lepidosauria; Squamata; Gekkonidae
Also listed under: 1 other name
Description: tRNA-Trp
Source: RNAcentral
AAAUUUAGGUUAACUAUAAACCAAGGGCCUUCAAAGCCCUAAAUAGAUCGCCACCUAAUUUCUG